UACGAAGGGGGUUAGCGUUGUUCGGAAUUACUGGGCGUAAAGCGCACGUAGGCGGAUUGUUAAGUUAGGGGUGAAAUCCCAGGGCUCAACCCUGGAACUGCCUUUAAUACUGGCAAUCUCGAGUCCGAGAGAGGUGAGUGGAAUUCCGAGUGUAGAGGUGAAAUUCGUAGAUAUUCGGAGGAACACCAGUGGCGAAGGCGGCUCACUGGCUCGGUACUGACGCUGAGGUGCGAAAGCGUGGGGAGCAAACAGG
Molecule: ribosomal RNA, 253 nt
Filed under: uncultured bacterium
Lineage: Bacteria
Description: partial 16S ribosomal RNA
Rfam family: Bacterial small subunit ribosomal RNA
Source: RNAcentral